UUCAACAGCCGCCGAAGCCUCUGUUUAGGUUUUCUACAUCUGUUUGUUUCAUUGUUUAGUUUUUGGUAUAAUUGUUUUUGGCGAAGAUGAUUGAUUGCUUAAUAUUCUGACACCUCUUGUAUGAGAAUGGCCUUCAAAAGCUGUUCCUUGAGCACAUAAAGCACCUCUCUGAGCCUAUUAUUUCUUUUUCUAUCUAAAUGUUUUGAUUAGUGUAUCGAUCAGAAAUUCAGGCAACCACCUUUUGUAAAUUACUCGAAAGGUAGGUGUUAUUCUGCUCGUAAAUCAAUUUCUUUUGCUCUUCAGACUUGUUGAGAUUCAUACUCUAUGAAACCGGUCUAGUAAGCAUUAGUACAUUUUUUCUAUUCGCAAUUAAUAAUUUACAUAUAUUUAGUUUCUGUUUUAGAUAUAUUCAAUUUGAUGUUUUGCUAAUCUUAAGCAAAAAAAUUAAUUAAACCGAACAAUCGGGACAACGACAUAACCCAUAUUAAUCAAUAGCGAAAAUAUGAUUUGUAACAUGCAUCAAUCUUACAAAAAAAAACAUUUAAAAAUAUCAAAUUCUAUUUGUUUAAUUAAAUGUUUAUCGAAGAUAAGGCUCUAUCAUCAGAGUCAACAGCAGGCGUCGAUUUGUUGGCGACUUGACUGCCGCUUAGAGCCUAGAUUAAAUUCCGGAUUAAGACUUUAUGGAAAUUGUUUUUGGUGUUUUCAUGACACAAUAUACCGGAUAAAUUCGUUAGAUUAACAAUUUAAGGUAGAUUCGUGCAGAAAUUGAAAUUUGUUUUGUAAUUUAUGUGUGUUUGUUUAGCAAAUUGAAAUGAAAUAUGAAUGAAAUUGGAAUAUA
Molecule: long non-coding RNA, 838 nt
Organism: Helianthus annuus (common sunflower)
Lineage: Eukaryota; Viridiplantae; Streptophyta; Magnoliopsida; Asterales; Asteraceae
Exons: 2
Source: RefSeq, a predicted model, not a curated record